CAGUCGCCGCGGGAAUACGGAGGAUCCGAGCGUUAUCCGGAUUUAUUGGGUUUAAAGGGUGCGUAGGUGGCCUGUUAAGUCAGGGGUGAAAGACGGUAGCUUAACUAUCGCAGUGCCCUUGAUACUGAUGGGCUUGAAUAAACUAGAGGUAGGCGGAAUGUGACAAGUAGCGGUGAAAUGCAUAGAUAUGUCACAGAACACCAAUUGCGAAGGCAGCUUACUAUGGUUUGAUUGACACUGAGGCACGAAAGCGUGGGGAUCAAACAGGAUUAGAUACCCCGGUAGUCCCUGUCUCUUAUAC
Molecule: ribosomal RNA, 301 nt
Filed under: uncultured bacterium
Lineage: Bacteria
Description: partial 16S ribosomal RNA
Rfam family: Bacterial small subunit ribosomal RNA
Source: RNAcentral